RNAcentral lists this small RNA (186 nucleotides) under Gammaproteobacteria bacterium. RNAcentral describes it as "6S RNA". It matches the Rfam family "6S / SsrS RNA". From Rfam's summary of the family: E. coli 6S RNA was the first non coding RNA to be sequenced, but its function was unknown until recently. It consists of 184 nucleotides that fold into an extended hairpin structure with a large single-stranded internal bulge. The 6S RNA specifically associates with RNA polymerase holoenzyme containing the sigma70 specificity factor. The record is from RNAcentral. Lineage: Bacteria; Pseudomonadati; Pseudomonadota; Gammaproteobacteria.
CGCCGCCUGCGGUGUUCGAUGCGGAUCGGGUUACCUCUCGACCCUAAUUUGUAAACCCCAGGGGCCUUUGCUUGCUGGCAACAUUGUGCAGGUCCGCCAUGGGCGGAAAGCCUUACUUGCCGCAGUGAGCCCCACCUGUUGCUCAGGUCGGGAGCAACGGUCCAACACGGCACAUGCGGGUGGCGC